GGUGGUUCUCGGGUGAUGCACCCUAGAAUCGGGCUCCCUCGUCUCUGGUCCCAGGGUGGGUCACCCAAGAACUGCU
Non-coding RNA from Myotis davidii, 76 nucleotides. The record is from Rfam. NCBI's taxonomy places the organism in Eukaryota, Metazoa, Chordata, Mammalia, Chiroptera, Vespertilionidae.